UGUUAUCAUAUUGUCUUACAUUAGACAUCUCUCUAAUUGUCAUUUGAUCUAUAUAAUUAUUAUGUAACAUCUCUCUAAAACUAUGUAAUCAUAUUAAGUUAAGGGACCACAUAUGAUAUUUAGCCUAAAAAAAAGGAAUAGAUGCAUAGCUUAAAAGAGAAAAAGAAAAUAGAUGCUAGCUUAAAAGAGAGAAGUUAAAUUUUAUAAUCUAGACACCGUCUUGUUUCUCUAUGCCAGAGAUGAUCCAAGCGCGCUCAACUAACAGUCUUCCAUGACAAGGUGCUCGGUCAAAUUCGAAUUUGAAGUAACCUUGAUCACCCCAUUUGUCUUGAGAAUUCCUCACCAACCAAUAUUUCUUGAAUUUGUUAUUUUCUAUUUGCUGUCCUCACCAACCAAUACUUCUUCAAUUUGUUAUUUUCUAUUUGCUGUCCUCACCAACCAAUACUUCUUCAAUUUGUUAUUUUCUAUUUGUUGUCCGUAUCCCACAAUAAUCAUUCGAUGUCUUUCUUCUGGGCGAACAUUAAAAUCUGUUGCAUUAUAUACCAUCCUAUAAUUACAGUGAAAUUAAAUUAACUCAUUUUUAAAUUGAUAUACUAAUAACUAAAUUCAUUCAAAAACUUUGACUUACCCCUCCAAUUUAUCUAAUGCAUUCCUAACCGCCAAUUCUAAUCUAAGAGUUUGUUUUUUUCUUUGACUGAUAUUUCAUCCAGAAGAUUUAUAUAUUGGUCAGUGGUGAUCCUUAAAAAUAUCUAAAUAUACAGGUGCAGAAAAAACAAAAUCAAAAUAAGGUGUAUAAUAAAAAAAGAUUUACCAUAUGAGAAAAACAAAAUCAAUAUAAAGUGGACAAUAAUAAAGAUAAAUAAUGAGAAAGAAAAAAAAAAAUUACCGGCAUAAAUGUUCCCACAUAUGGACAAUCUGUUCUAAUAAAAAACCAUUCUCCCUCACCCAGACAAUUGUCUCAGACACAGUACUACCGUCACGAUCUUCUUCGGUAGUCUUUAUUAAACGAUUAUAGAUAUCUUGCGGAGAUAAUAUAAUCCAACGUCCAUUUUCCAUGUGGUAUAAUACCUCUACCACACCGCAUAUCGCAAAAGCAAAACAACAACCUACAGGGUUUAAAUGUGUAUAUAUAUAUAUAUAUAUAUAUAUGGAGUUGUUAAUAUAUAUAAAUCUAACAAUAGUAAUAGUAAGUGUAUAUUAAUCACCUACACACAUUAUUUUUAUUUGAAAUACACUUAUUUAAAACAAUUUUAAAUAAAAGACAUGGUUGUGACUAUAGAUGUCUGUAUAAGUACUCUAUACGUGGCGUUGAAAACUCCCGAUCUACUCCGGCGGUGCGGUUACACCGGUCGACUUUAUCGGAGGUGAGUGUUUAUGAAAAAAAAAUCAUCUUUUUCGUUUUACAAGAAAAAUAUUUUAUUUUAAAUGACAAAAUGAAAAUGGAGUUUUUUUUAAGAUGAAAAUGGAGGAAGAUGGAAAUGGCAAAUGGAAAUGAUUUUUUUAAAAGAUGGAGAUGAAGUUUUUUUUAAGAUGGAAAUGAUUUUUUUAAAAGAUGGCGAUGAAGUUUUUUUUAAGAUGGAAAUGGAAUAAGAUGGAAAGGGUAGAAGAUGGAAAUGAAGUUUUUAAACAUGGAAAUGAGAAGUUUUUGUUAAUGGAAAUGGGAGAAGAUGAAAAUGUUUGAGAAUGGAUUUAGAAGUGUUUAUAAAGUUGUGUUUUGUUGGUGAAAAAGAAAUGAGAGUGAAAAAUUACUACAAGAAAGGUUGUAAGAAAAUGUCUUUGAGGAAGUUCAUGGGUCAAAAUUUUGCAACACAAGUUGUUUUACGUGGAAAAUUUAAUCUGGAAACAAAUAUAACUUUUAUUUUGAUUUCUUCUCUAUAGUUGUUUAGUAUGUUGUACCUUUUGCAAUAAGUUGAAGUCACUUAUUGAAUACCUCAUUAAAAUUUAUAAACAAGUAGUGCAUUACAAAAGAAUAAAAAGUCAAGAAAAAAAUGUUAAACAGACAAGAAACUCAUACUACCAUAAUAUUCUCUUCUUCUAAAGUCUUUAUGAAAUUAAAAAAAAAAACAAAAAAAAAGGUUUUUUUCUCUUUUAUUGGUGUUUGAGCAUAAAAAUAGAUGAGAGGGAGUAGAAAAAGAGAGAGAGUUUCUUUGUGUUUAUAGUUUUGUUUUUAAUUUUUUUUAUUUUAUAUUUAAUAGAUGGAAGAAAAAACAAAAGGUUCUUUUUUGUAUGUGAGAUUUUAAGAGAUUUGAUUUGAUAAGUGAGAGUGCUGUAGAAAACAAAAGUAAAAUUUGUGUGUGAGAUUGUAUUAUAAGAAAUUUAAUAAUCAAGUAAGACUAUUGUGAAAAGAGAAUUAAGAGUGUGACUAUAGAUGUCUGUAUAAGUACUCUAUACGUGGCGUUGAAAACUCCCGCCGGUCGACUUUAUCGGAGGUGAGUGUUUAUGAAAAAAAAAUCUUCUUUUUCGUUUUACAAGAAAAAUAUUUUUUUUUUUAAAUGACAAAAUGGAAAUGGAGUUUUUUUUAAGAUGAAAAUGGAGGAAGAUGGAAAUGGCAAAUGGAAAUGAUUUUUUUAAAAGAUGGAGAUGAAGUUUUUUUUAAGAUGGAAAUGAUUUUUUUAAAAGAUGGCGAUGGAGUUUUUUUUAAGAUGGAAAUGGAAUAAGAUGGAAAGGGUAGAAGAUGGAAAUGAAGUUUUUAAAGAUGGAAAUGAGAAGUUUUUGUUAAUGGAAAUGGGAGAAGAUGAAAAUGUUUGAGAAUGGAUUUAGAAGUGUUUAUAAAGUUGUGUUUUGUUGGUGAAAAAGAAAUGAGAGUGAAAAAUUACUACAAGAAAGGUUGUAAGAAAAUGUCUUUGAGGAAGUUCAUGGGUCAAAAUUUUGCAACACAAGUUGUUUUACGUGGAAAAUUUAAUCUGGAAACAAAUAUAACUUUUAUUUUGAUUUCUUCUCUAUAGUUGUUUAGUAUGUUGUACCUUUUGCAAUAAGUUGAAGUCACUUAUUGAAUACCUCAUUAAAAUUUAUAAACAAGUAGUGCAUUACAAAAGAAUAAAAAGUUAAGAAAAAAAUGUUAAAAAGAGAAGAAACUCAUACUACCAUAAUAUUCUCUUCUUCUAAAGUCUUUAUGAAAUUAAAAAAAAAACAAAAAAAAAAGUUUUUUUCAUUCUCUUUUAUUGGUGUUUGAGCAUAAAAAUAGAUGAGAGAAAGUAGAAAAAGAGAGAGAGUUUCUUUGUGUUUAUAGUUUUGUUUUUAAUUUUUUUUAUUUUAUAUUUAAUAGAUGGAAGAAAAAACAAAAGGUUCUUUUUUGUAUGUGAGAUUUUAAGGGAUUUGAUUUGAUAAGUGAGAGUGCUGUAGAAAACNNNNNNNNNNNNNNNNNNNNNNNNNNNNNNNNNNNUCUUUUUCGUUUUACAAGAAAAAUAUUUUUUUUUUAAAUGACAAAAUGGAAAUGGAGUUUUUUUUAAGAUGAAAAUGGAGGAAGAUGGAAAUGGCAAAUGGAAAUGAUUUUUUUAAAAGAUGGAGAUAAAGUUUUUUUUAAGAUGGAAAUGAUUUUUUUAAAAGAUGGUGAUGAAGUUUUUUUUAAGAUGGAAAUGGAAUAAGAUGGAAAGGGUAGAAGAUGGAAAUGAAGUUUUUAAACAUGGAAAUGAGAAGUUUUUGUUAAUGGAAAUGGGAGAAGAUGAAAAUGUUUGAGAAUGGAUUUAGAAGUGUUUAUAAAGUUGUGUUUUGUUGGUGAAAAAGAAAUGAGAGUGAAAAAUUACUACAAGAAAGAUUGUAAGAAAAUGUCAUUGAGGAAGUUCAUGGGUCAAAAUUUUGCAACACAAGUUGUUUUACGUGGAAAAUUUAAUCUGGAAACAAAUAUAACUUUUAUUUUGAUUUCUUCUCUAUAGUUGUUUAGUAUGUUGUACCUUUUGCAAUAAGUUGAAGUCACUUAUUGAAUACCUCAUUAAAAUUUAUAAACAAGUAGUGCAUUACAAAAGAAUAAAAAGUUAAGAAAAAAAUGUUAAAAAGAGAAGAAACUCAUACUACCAUAAUAUUCUCUUCUUCUAAAGUCUUUAUGAAAUUAAAAAAAAAAACAAAAAAAAAGGUUUUUUUCAUUCUCUUUUAUUGGUGUUUGUGCAUAAAAAUAGAUGAGAGGGAGUAGAAAAAGAGAGAGAGUUUCUUUGUUUUUAUAGUUUUGUUUUUAAUUUUUUUUUAUUUUAUGUUUAAUAGAUGGAAGAAAAAACAAAAGGUUCUUUUUUGUAUGUGAGAUUUUAAGGGAUUUGAUUUGAUAAGUGAGAUUGCUGUAGAAAACAAAAGUAAAAUUUGUGUGUGAGAUUGUAUUAUAAGAAAUUUAAUAAUCAAGUAAGACUAUUGCGAAAAGAGAAUUAAGAGUGUGACUAUAGAUGUCUGUAUAAGUACUCUAUACGUGGCGUUGAAAACUCGAGAUUGUAUUAUAAGAAAUUUAAUAAUCAAGUAAGACUAUUGUGAAAAGAGAAUUAAGAGUGUGACUAUAGAUGUCUGUAUAAGUACUCUAUACGUGGCGUUAAAAACUCCCGAUGUACUUCGGCGGUGCGGUUACACCGGUCGACUUUAUCGGAGGUGAGUGUUUAUGAAAAAAAAAAUCAUCUUUUUCGUUGUACAAGAAAAAUAUUUUUUUUUUAAAUGACAAAAUGGAAAUGGAGUUUUUUUUAAGAUGAAAAUGGAGGAAGAUGGAAAUGGCAAAUGGAAAUGAUUUUUUUAAGAGAUGGAGAUGAAGUUUUUUUUAAGAUGGAAAUGAUUUUUUUAAAAGAUGGCGAUGAAGUUUUUUUUCAGAUGGAAAUGGAAUAAGAUGGAAAGGGUAGAAGAUGGAAAUGAAGUUUUUAAACAUGGAAAUGAGAAGUUUUUGUUAAUGGAAAUGAGAGAAGAUGAAAAUGUUUGAGAAUAGAUUUAGAAGUGUUUAUAAAGUUGUGUUUUGUUGGUGAAAAAGAAAUGAGAGUGAAAAAUUACUACAAGAAAGGUUGUAAGAAAAUGUCUUUGAGGAAGUUCAUGGGUCAAAAUUUUGCAACACAAGUUGUUUUACGUGGAAAAUUUAAUCUGGAAACAAAUAUAACUUUUAUUUUGAUUUCUUCUCUAUAGUUGUUUAGUAUGUUGUACCUUUUGCAAUAAGUUGAAGUCACUUAUUGAAUACCUCAUUAAAAUUUAUAAACAAAUAGUGCAUUACAAAAGAAUAAAAAGUUAAGAAAAAAAUGUUAAAAAGAGAAGAAACUCAUACUGCCAUAAUAUUCUCUUGUUCUAAAGUCUUUAUGAAAUUAAAAAAAAAAAAACAAAAAAAAAGGUUUUUUUCAUUCUCUUUUAUUGGUGUUUAAGCAUAAAAAUAGAUGAGAGGGAGUAGAAAAAGAGAGAGAGUUUCUUUGUGUUUAUAGUUUUGUUUUUCAUUUUUUUUAUUUUAUGUUUAAUAGAUGGAAGAAAAAACAAAAGGUUCUUUUUUGUAUGUGAGAUUUUAAGGGAUUUGAUUUGAUAAGUGAGAGUGCUGUAGAAAACGAAAGUAAAAUUUGUGUGUGAGAUUGUAUUAUAAGAAAUUUAAUAAUCAAGUAAGACUAUUGCGAAAAGAUAAUUAAGAGUGUGACUAUAGAUGUCUGUAUAAGUACUCUAUACGUGGCGUUAAAAACUCCCGAUGUACUUCGGCGGUGCGGUUACACCGGUCGACUUUAUCGGAGGUGAGUGUUUAUGAAAAAAAAAUUAUCUUUUUCGUUUUACAAGAAAAAUAUUUUUUUUUUAAAUGACAAAAUGGAAAUGGAGUUUUUUUUAAGAUGAAAAUGGAGGAAGAUGGAAAUGGCAAAUGGAAAUGGAAAAUGGAAAUGAUUUUUUUAAAAGAUAGAGAUGAAGUUUUUUUUAAGAUGGAAAUGAUUUUUUUAAAAGAUGGCGAUGAAGUUUUUUUUAAGAUGGAAAUGGAAUAAGAUGGAAAGGGUAGAAGAUGGAAAUGAAGUUUUUAAACAUGGAAAUGAGAAGUUUUUGUUAAUGGAAAUGGGAGAAGAUGAAAAUGUUUGAGAAUGGAUUUAGAAGUGUUUAUAAAGUUGUGUUUUGUUGGUGAAAAAGAAAUGAGAGUGAAAAAUUACUAAAAGAAAGGUUGUAAGAAAAUGUCUUUGAGGAAGUUCAUGGGUCAAAAUUUUGCAACACAAGUUGUUUUACGUGGAAAAUUUAAUCUGGAAACAAAUAUAACUUUUAUUUUGAUUUCUUCUCUAUAGUUGUUUUGUAUGUUGUACCUUUUGCAAUAAGUUGAAGUCACUUAUUGAAUACCUCAUUAAAAUUUAUAAACAAGUAGUGCAUUACAAAAGAAUAAAAAGUUAAGAAAAAAAUGUUAAAAAGAGAAGAAACUCAUACUACCAUAAUAUUCUCUUCUUCUGAAGUCUUUACGAAAUUUGGAAAAUUUAAUCUGGAAACAAAUAUAACUUUUAUUUUGAUUUCUUCUCUAUAGUUGUUUAGUAUGUUGUACCUUUUGCAAUAAGUUGAAGUCACUUAUUGAAUACCUCAUUAAAAUUUAUAAACAAGUAGUGCAUUACAAAAGAAUAAAAAGUUAAGAAAAAAAUGUUAAAAAGAGAAGAAACUCAUACUACCAUAAUAUUCUCUUCUUCUAAAGUCUUUAUGAAAUUAAAAACAGAAAAAAAAACAAAAAAAAAAGGUUUUUUUCAUUCUCUUUUAUUGGUGUUUGAGCAUAAAAAUAGAUGAGAGGGAGUAGAAAAAGAGAGAGAGUUUCUUUGUGUUUAUAGUUUUGUUUUUAAUUUUAUUUAUUUUAUAUUUAAUAGAUGGACGAAAAAAACAAAAGGUUCUUUUUUGUAUUUGAGAUUUUAAGGGAUUUGAUUUGAUAAGUGAGAGUGAUGUAGAAAACAAAAGUAAAAUUUGUGUGUGAGAUUGUAUUAUAAGAAAUUUAAUAAUCAAGUAAGACUAUUGUGAAAAGAGAAUUAAGAGUGUGACUAUAGAUGUCUGUAUAAGUACUCUAUACGUGGCGUUGAAAACUCCCGAUCUACUCCGGCGGUGCGGUUACACCGGUCGACUUUAUCGGAGGUGAGUGUUUAUGAAAAAAAAAUCAUCUUUUUCGUUUUACAAGAAAAAUAUUUUUUUUUUAAAUGACAAAAUGGAAAUGGAGUUUUUUUUAAGAUGAAAAUGGAGGAAGAUGGAAAUGGCAAAUGGAAAUGAUUUUUUUAAAAGAUGGAGAUAAAGUUUUUUUUAAGAUGGAAUUGAUUUUUUUAAAAGAUGGCGAUGAAGUUUUUUUUUAAGAUGGAAAUGGAAUAAGAUGGAAAGGGUAGAAGAUGAAAAUGAAGUUUUUAAAGAUGGAAAUGAGAAGUUUUUGUUAAUGGAAAUGGGAGAAGAUGAAAAUGUUUGAGAAUGGAUUUAGAAGUGUUUAUAAAGUUGUGUUUUGUUAGUGAAAAAGAAAUGAGAGUGAAAAAUUACUACAAGAAAGGUUGUAAGAAAAUGUCUUUGAGGAAGUUCAUGAGUCAAAAUUUUGCAACACAAGUUGUUUUACGUGGAAAAUUUAAUCUGGAAACAAAUAUAACUUUUAUUUUGAUUUCUUCUCUAUAGUUGUUUAGUAUGUUGUACCUUUUGCAAUAAGUUGAAGUCACUUAUUGAAUACCUCAUUAAAAUUUAUAAACAAGUAGUGCAUUACAAAAGAAUAAAAAGUUAAGAAAAAAAUGUUAAAAAGAGAAGAAACUCAUACUACCAUAAUAUUCUCUUCUUCUAAAGUCUUUAUGAAAUUAAAAAAAAAAACAGAAAAAAAGGUUUUUUUCAUUCUCUUUUAUUGGUGUUUGAGCAUAAAAAUAGAUGAGAGGGAGUAGAAAAAGAGAGAGAGUUUCUUUGUGUUUAUAGUUUUGUUUUUAAAUUUUUUUUAUUUUAUGUUUAAUAGAUGGAAGAAAAAACAAAAGUUUCUUUUUUGUAUGUGAGAUUUUAAGGGAUUUGAUUUGAUAAGUGAGAGUGCUGUAGAAAACAAAAGUAAAAUUUGUGUGUGAGAUUGUAUUAUAAGAAAUUUAAUAAUCAAGUAAGACUGUUGUGAAAAGAGAAUUAAGAGUGUAACUUAUGAGAUUAUAUAAUAAAUGUUGUUGUUUAGUUUUAUUUUUUUGAGAAUCUUAAUUAAUUUUAUAGAUGUAUGUUGUAUUAACAUUGAUUUGGCACUGUACAUAUAAAUGGCAGUCUAAGACUAGUUAGCUAUAUAUAGGCACAUAAGCCUCCCUCGUCAUGUGGGCUAGCCUAUUAUGCCACACCCCUUUGACUCACAAACAUUUUAUAACAAUAUUGCCACGCGUCGUACAAACAUUUUGCAGCAAUAUUCUCAUAUUGUACUGAUACUUUUUAGUUCAUUCAAAUUUGUAGUUUUUAAAUAUAAUUUUUACACUCAAAAUUAUUGUUUUAUUUAUUUAUUUAUCAUAUCAGUAUAUUUAGUGUUUGUUUAAUUUCAAUUUUAAUAGAGUUUAAAUCAAUUCAACAAUUGCAAAAUUGUUUUUAAAAUAUUUGAGUAUUAUUGAAUUAAAUUAAUUUUAUCUUCAAAAUAAAUAUUAACUUAAAAUUAAAAUUUGUGAUUUUAAAUUAAAAUGUCAUAUUUACUAUUGUACUAUUUUAUAAAAUACUAUUUUAUAAAAAAAAAUUAUUGUAUAAGACAAAUCAAUACUACUAGUACUAAUAUUAAUAAAAAUAUUUUAAUAACAAUGACAAGUAUUUUUAAUAAUUUAAAAAAUAAACUAAUUAUAGAAACACAUUUUUAUUUUAUUUUUUAUCUUCAAAGAAUAUAUAGUUAAGAAUGGAGAAUUCUUUAAAAUAAUUUCUCCACUCAUUUUUUUCUUUACCGCAUCCCCACUUAUUCUAAUUUUUGUUUUUAUAAUAAUAUCAAAUUACUCUAACUUUAACCAGCUACUCGUAAUAUAACAAGUAUUCAUCGAGAAGCUUUCAAUUGAUUUCUAAAUAUGAAUGCUUUAUUUUGAAAUGAAAAUGAAAUGUUAAAGCCACCAAAAGAUUAUAACAGAUAUAGUUAUAUUUGCUUUGUUAUGUUUUUAUGAAUUUUACUUAGGAUUGUAUAUGACUUAGAUUAUCAAAUACAGCAAAAUCAACUUGAUAAACCAAAAAAUAGUUUGAUCAGGUAAAUGAGUACAAAUUGGCAAUAAUAGUUUCACAUAAUAGUAAAAUGAUUUAAAAAAAAUGGCAUACUGAGUAAAAUUAAACCAAAUUCACUUUAUUUCUAUGCUUGCAAGUAUUUUAUGCAAUUUUAUGAAUUUUUCAACAUUGAUUAUAUUAAUGUUUGCAAUGUGAAUAUUAUAUGAUGGACUCUAUAUGAUUUUAAUAUUCUCGUUAAUUAUAUGUUUAUAUAUAAUAAAUAUUGAAAAAAUGAAAAAUAUAUGAUACACAAUUAAAUUAAGGUUGUGUUAUUUUUUUAGAAAUAUUAUAAUAAUUCGUCAUUAACAAUAAAAUUAAAACAAAAAGAAUGUGGAUAAUAUAGUAUUCAUAUUGUGGAUAAUCUAAUAAUACUUUACUCUAUAACUGAUUUUUGAAAACCAAGUUUAACCUAAUAACUCUCUAAAAAUUUGGGUUCUGGUUUUAGCCAAACCAACUCACGUAUAACCCGAAUUUUAUUAGUUUGUUUUAGUUGAUAUUUCAUAUUUGGAUAUUGUUUAGUUAUGUCUGUUUAUAUCAAUCUCAAAUCACUUCUUGUGUGAACAAAUUUCAAUUCAUAGCAAAUGUCUUUAUUGUUGAAUUUAAUUUAAUAUAAAAAUAUUUAAAUAUAAAUCACUUUACAUUAAUAUAUUUUUUUAACUAAAAUCAACUAUUUCAAAAUUAAUUUUAAUCGCUACAUAAUUAAACACAUAAUUGACUAUUUGGAUACGGUGCAAGUAGCAGUUCUCACGUUUGGAGCCAUGGUGAAGCAAAAGCUAAGCUUUUUAGUUUUUCAUAAAUGCGGGGUAGCAAUGAAUUACUGUUCUCCUAAUAUACAUUAGAUCAGUUUUCAUUUACCCAUUUUAACUUAAGUCAAUUAAUUAAAAAUCACUUUUUUCUCAGGGCAAAUGAAAAAAUAUAUAAUCCUUCGAUUUAUGGAUGUCAUGAGUUUUUUGAGAAUUUUUUCAAGAUCAAAUCAUCCGAUUUCAUACAUAUACACGCUUUUAAUAGAAGCCGAAUUUCACUUAUUUUCCUCUCUUAUUUUCAAAACUUUUUGUUAUUGAUAAGAUAAAAUUGGGGUAAAAUAAUUACACAUGUGCUUGAUAUGUUGUUCUUUUUCCUUUGAUGUUUACUAAUAAAGUUUUGUUAGGUGUUUAGUUAAUGCAUGUUUCCGAUAUAUUUUUAAUCUUAUUGUUUCUAAUAGCAAAUGCAUGUUAUCUAGAUCAGAUUAGUUAGUAUCUUAAGUUGGCAUAUAAAUGUGCAUUUAGGUUUGAAUCAUAUACAUCCAUGAUAAUAAACUUAAACAAAAAUAUGAGAAAAAAGAUGUACCUUAACAACGAUUUGCGAGUCAGUUUGAAUAAGAUUAUUGUAAAUAUCUUGCAGAAAUAAAUCCGACGUGUGCUUUCUAUUAGAUUGAUAUAUAUUUAUCCACCACCUUUGUAUGUAAUAUCUCAAAAUACC
RNAcentral lists this long non-coding RNA (10539 nucleotides) under Cicer arietinum (chickpea). Its description in RNAcentral is "long non-coding RNA (CARI_LNC001633)". Lineage: Eukaryota; Viridiplantae; Streptophyta; Magnoliopsida; Fabales; Fabaceae. The record is from RNAcentral.